GCCGAUGUAGCUCAAUUGGUAGAGCAAUUGCUUCGUAAGCAAUAAGUAAGAGGUUCAAAUCCUCUCAUCGGCU
RNAcentral lists this transfer RNA (73 nucleotides) under Endomicrobium sp. RNAcentral's name for it is "tRNA-Thr". It matches the Rfam family "tRNA". From Rfam's summary of the family: Transfer RNA (tRNA) molecules are approximately 80 nucleotides in length. Their secondary structure includes four short double-helical elements and three loops (D, anti-codon, and T loops). Lineage: Bacteria; Pseudomonadati; Elusimicrobiota; Endomicrobiia; Endomicrobiales; Endomicrobiaceae. The record is from RNAcentral.